GAUGAACGCUAGCGGCAGGCUUAAUACAUGCAAGUCGAACGGUAAGUAUUUUAGCAAUAAGAUACGAGAGUGACGUACGGGUGCGUAACACGUAUGCAACCUACCUUGUACAGGAGGAUAGCUCGGGGAAACUCGAAUUAACCCUCCAUAAGAUCGUGGUGAGGCAUCUCACAGCGAUAAAAUACUUAGGAGGUACAAGAUGGGCGAUGCGUCUGAUUAGAGUUGGUGCGGGUAACGGCCCACCAAGACGAUGAUCAGUAGGGGACC
This 267-nucleotide ribosomal RNA is filed under the name uncultured bacterium. RNAcentral describes it as "partial 16S ribosomal RNA". It matches the Rfam family "Bacterial small subunit ribosomal RNA", at positions 28 to 292 of the family's 1533-position model. The record is from RNAcentral.